This is a long non-coding RNA of Triticum dicoccoides, 1578 nucleotides long. RefSeq lists it as uncharacterized. The transcript is spliced from 4 exons. NCBI's taxonomy places the organism in Eukaryota, Viridiplantae, Streptophyta, Magnoliopsida, Poales, Poaceae. The record is from RefSeq and is a predicted model, not a curated record.
AGAGAGUUGGGAGAGCUAAUGAGUUGUUGAAGCCAGAUGAAAUUAUAGUGCAAAUUGACUCGAGGUCAAUUGCUGUGUCACCACUUCCUCACAACGUAAAGCUGGAAGAUGUUCAAUCUUUCUUUGGUCAGUAUGGCAAGGAAGGAAUUUGAUGCUGAAAUGGAGGCUAAGAAAGAAGCUUAUGAGAAGUCGCACCCUAAUACACACCCUAAUAAGAAUGGUCAUGAUGAAGGAUACCCAAAAGGUCUGAUUCUGCCUUUAAGCUGAAGAAAAUUCUAGCUUAUGGUGACACAGAACAAAAUGGUGGGGACAAAGUUGAUAAUAGCGACAAUGCCAAGAAGGAAGGGGGUGGAAUCGGGGAAAGCUUGUGAAGAGAAGGCCCCUGAGAACACUGAUGCCAAGGAAGAGAAGUCAGAUGAUGCUGAGGAGUUGAAAGUGUCAGAUGCACAAGGGAGCGGGCUGCUCUCGGUGCUCGACUGGGAGCUCACCGACGAGGAGGAGUACCGCCGCGCGCGCCCAGGUGCAGCGCAAGCGCGUGGAGGCGAAGGGGUACGCCGUCGAGGGGAUCUCGGUGAGCGGGCACGAGACCUGCAUCACCGUGCCGUCCCUCAGCGUCGCAUUUGACAUCGGCCGCGGCCCGCUCUUCGCCGUGCGCUAGGACCACCUCUUCAUCAUGCACGCCACCUCAACCACAUCGUCCUUCUGUCAGUGUCUUCAAUUGCUUUGCUGAAUAGUGGGUGGUAGCGGCUUGAGUGAAGAUCUUCGUAUCAAGGUUUGUUUACUACCGCGGAUUGCUUAUAUCACCUUGUUCUGUAAUUGUCUGUUACUUGCUGUACACAUACUGACUAGGCGUUGUGUCUGUGUUGCUGUUUUCCAUUUGCCUUUGCUGGUUAACUUACUUUUCAAGGACUAUUUCUUCUGCUCAGGAUGUGCCCUACUAUAUCUUUUGUGAUUCCUAUUUUGGAGACCCUGGCGGCGCAUGUUCCUUUGCCUGCUCUUUUGUACGUGUGUGAGAUAGCCGACGACGGGGCUGUGCUUGCUGGUGUUGAGCUUGAGCUUCCUACGAAUAGUGUGUCCCUACUUCCAGAUAGGACUUUGCUAAAAUUCCUGCAGGGGGGCUAUGGGUUUGUUAUCAGGGACUACGGUAGGGGUGCAGAGCGGCGUCCCGCAUAGACCCACCAAAGUGCUUAAUUAGUACAACUUUGCCUAACAGCAGCACAGCCUAAUUAGAACUAGCUUUUUCUAAUUUGUAUACAGAGCGGGACGGGUUUGGGCGCCGCCUUGCAUCCCUAGACUACGGGUUUCAAAGUGUUGGUUCAUACCAUUCAGGAGCAGUGCUGGUGCUAAGAACGCUGGCAAUGCAAAGAAAACAAGGCAGUAAUUCAUCUAUCGCCUAAGAUGACCAUGGAUGUACGGUAAGCCACAUUUUUCUUCCAUGCAUUCAGCUCAGUCUCUGCUUCCAUGGAAUUCAUGCUUUUCAAUUAAAUUAUCAGGGUGAUAAUGUAAACAGUCCAGCUGCUGAUGAACAUGAUUUGUCGACAAGGAAGCUUAAUAGCUACCAAGCACAACUUCGUGCUC